Molecule: RNA transcript, 1535 nt
Organism: Piliocolobus tephrosceles (Ugandan red Colobus)
Lineage: Eukaryota; Metazoa; Chordata; Mammalia; Primates; Cercopithecidae
Gene name: tubulin gamma-1 chain pseudogene
Exons: 2
Source: RefSeq, a predicted model, not a curated record
AUGGCUGCAGAUGCAUGCGUGAGACGGACGGGAGUGCCGCCGAGGGAAAUCAUCACCCUACAGUUGGGCUAGUGCGGCAAUCAGAUUGGGUUCGAGUUCUGGAAACAGCUGUGCACUGAGCAUGGUAUCAGCCCUGAGGGUACUGUGGCGGAGUUCGCCAUCAAGGGCACUGACAACAAGGACAUCUUUUUCUAACAGGCAAAAGAUGAGCACUAUAUCCCCUGGGCCGUGCUGCUGGACCUGGAGCCCCAGGUGACCCACUCCAUCCUCAACUCCCCCUAUCCCAAGCUCUACAACCCAGAGAACAUCUACCUGUCAGAGCAUGGAGGAGGAGCUGGCAACAACUGGGCCAGCAGAUUCUCCCAGAGAGAGAAGCUCCAUGAGGACAUUUUUAACAUCAUAGACUGAGAGGCAGAUGGUAGUGACAAUCUAGAUGGCUUUGUGCUGUGUCAGUCCAUUGCUGGGGGGACAGGCUCUGGCCUCGGCUCCUACCUCUUAGAAUGGCUGAAUGACAGGUAUCCUAAGAAGCUGGUGCAGACAUAUUCAAUGUUUCUCAACCAGGAUGAGAUGAGCGACGUGGUGAUCCAGCUUUAUAAUUCACUCCUCACACUCAAGAGGCUGAUGCAGAAUGCAGACUGUGUGGUGGUGCUGCACAACACAGCCCUGAACCAGACUGCCACAGACCCCCUGCACAUCCAGAACCCAUCCUUCUCUCAGACCAACCAGCUGGUGUCCACCAUCAUGUCAGCCAGCACCUUCACCCUGCACUAGCCCGGCUACAUGAACAAUGACCUCAUCAGCCUCAUCGCCUCACUCAUUCCCACCCCAUGGCUCCACUUUCUCAUGACCGGCUACACCCUGCUAUCUAUGGACCAGUCAGUGGCCAUCACCCAAGAACAUGAUGGUGUCCACAGGCCGAGACCGCCACACCAACCACUCCUACAUCACCAUUCUCAACACCAUCCAGGGAGAUGUGAACCCCACCCAGGUCCACAAGAACCUGCAGAGGAUCCGGAAACGGAAGUUGGCCAACUUUAUCCUGUGGGGCCCCACCAGCAUCCAGGUGGCCCUGUCGAGGAAGUCUCCUUACCUGCCCUUGGUCCACUGGGUCAGUGGGCUCAUGAUGGCCAACCACACCAGCAUCUCCUCACUCUUCGAGAGAACCUGUCACCAAUAUAAGCUGCAGAAGAGGGAGGCCUUCCUGGAGCUAUUCCGCAAGGAGGACAUGUUCAAGGACAACUUUGAUGAGAUGGACACAUCCAGGGAGAUUGUGCAGCAGCUCAUGGAUGAGUACCACAUGGCCACAUGGCCAGAUUACAUCUCCUGGGGCACCCAGGAGCAGUGAGUCCCCCAGGAUAGGGACCCUCAUCUGCCUUACUGUUUGGCCAAGGCCCUGCCUGACUGACCACUCCCUUAGAGCACAGAUCAGGGACCUCACACAUCUCUUUCUCAUAUACAUGCAUUCUCUGUUGGCCUACGAACACAUUACUUCUCUUAUGAGACUAUUUGUCUUUAAUAAAGCACUGGAUAUAAAU